This 762-nucleotide ribosomal RNA is filed under the name uncultured bacterium. RNAcentral describes it as "bacterial SSU rRNA". It matches the Rfam family "Bacterial small subunit ribosomal RNA", at positions 771 to 1532 of the family's 1533-position model. The record is from RNAcentral.
AACCGGAUUAGAUACCCUGGUAGUCCACGCCGUAAACGAUGUCGACUUGGAGGCUGUUCCCUUGAGGAGUGGCUUCCGGAGCUAACGCGUUAAGUCGACCGCCUGGGGAGUACGGCCGCAAGGUUAAAACUCAAAUGAAUUGACGGGGGCCCGCACAAGCGGUGGAGCAUGUGGUUUAAUUCGAUGCAACGCGAAGAACCUUACCUACUCUUGACAUCCAGAGAAUUUAGCAGAGAUGCUUUAGUGCCUUCGGGAGCUCUGAGACAGGUGCUGCAUGGCUGUCGUCAGCUCGUGUUGUGAAAUGUUGGGUUAAGUCCCGCAACGAGCGCAACCCUUAUCCUUUGUUGCCAGCACGUAAUGGUGGGAACUCAAAGGAGACUGCCGGUGAUAAACCGGAGGAAGGUGGGGAUGACGUCAAGUCAUCAUGGCCCUUACGAGUAGGGCUACACACGUGCUACAAUGGCGCAUACAAAGAGAAGCGACCUCGCGAGAGCAAGCGGACCUCAUAAAGUGCGUCGUAGUCCGGAUUGGAGUCUGCAACUCGACUCCAUGAAGUCGGAAUCGCUAGUAAUCGUAAAUCAGAAUGUUACGGUGAAUACGUUCCCGGGCCUUGUACACACCGCCCGUCACACCAUGGGAGUGGGUUGCAAAAGAAGUAGAUAGCUUAACCUUCGGGAGGGCGUUUACCACUUUGUGAUUCAUGACUGGGGUGAAGUCGUAACAAGGUAACCGUAGGGGAACCUGCGGCUGGAUCACCUCCUU